AAUCAACGCUGGCGGCGCGCUUAACACAUGCAAGUCGAGCGAGAAAGGGGGAGCAAUCCCUGAGUACAGCGGCGUACGGGUGAGUAACACGUGGGUGAUCUACCUUCUAGUGUGGAAUAACCCUGGGAAACCGGGGCUAAUACCGCAUAAGCCUGUGAAGGGAAAGCAGCAAUGCGCUGGAAGAGGAGCCCGCGGCCGAUUAGCUAGUUGGUGAGGUAACGGCCCACCAAGGCGAUGAUCGGUAGCCGGCCUGAGAGGGCACCACGGCCACACUGGCACUGAAACACGGGCCAGACUCCUACGGGAGGCAGCAGUGGGGAAUCUUGCACAAUGGAGGCAACUCUGAUGCAGCGA
RNAcentral lists this ribosomal RNA (354 nucleotides) under uncultured bacterium. RNAcentral describes it as "bacterial SSU rRNA". It matches the Rfam family "Bacterial small subunit ribosomal RNA", at positions 32 to 394 of the family's 1533-position model. The record is from RNAcentral.